GAUGAACGCUGACAGAAUGCUUAACACAUGCAAGUCGAUGGGGAAGUGGUGCUUGCACCAUGGUAACCAUGGCGGACGGGUGAGUAACACGUAAGGAACUUACCUGCGGGACCGGGAUAACAGCAGGAAACUGCUGACAAGACCGGAUAAGGUCAUUAAGCUGCAUAGCUUAGUGAUGAAAGGAGACGCCUGCGGAGAGCCUUGCGUCCUAUUAGCUAGUUGGAGGGGUAACGGCCCACCAAGGCGAAGAUAGGUAGCCGGCCUGAGAGGGUGGACGGCCACAAGGGGACUGAGAUACGGCCCUUACUCCUACGGGAGGCAGCAGGGGGGAAUAGUGGACAAGGGGGGCAACCCUGAUCCAGCAAUUCUGUGUGCACGAAGACGGUUUUCGGAGUGUAAAGUGCUUUCAGCAGGGAAGAAGGAAGUGACGGUACCUGCAGAAGAAGCGACGGCUAAAUACGUG
Molecule: ribosomal RNA, 463 nt
Filed under: uncultured bacterium
Lineage: Bacteria
Description: partial 16S ribosomal RNA
Rfam family: Bacterial small subunit ribosomal RNA
Source: RNAcentral